CCCGUACCGUGCGCCAGGCGGCCGGCCCGAGGCUCGACGAGCGCGGCGCGCUGGCUGUGCCUUCCCAGAGUUCUGCCUCCCGAGGGCGCGGGCGGGUGUGUGUGAGAGAAGAGGAGGGAAGCGGCGGGCGUGAACUUGUCGCAGCUGAAGAGCUGUCAUUUCAUCACCGGGAUUCAGAUGAAUUGAUCCAGUCCUCAGCGGAGGGGGCAUAGCUCGGCUCCUGAAACGCUGCGUGUCCCUCUGGCUGGAACAAUACUAGUUUUUCUCAGCGAGGCUGCAAUUAACAUCUUAUUUGUUCUGGCUAGAUACAGGCUUUGUCAGGACCGCGGUGCGGCGACUGAGGCCACUGAGCCAGCCUCAUGAUGAUCCUGCUGAGGUAUAUUUAUAGCAGAUGAUUUGUGGAUGAUAAAUAUACCAAGCAAGACACCAUCUCCAGUAACCCCAGGCUGGUCUGACUUCCUCAGGGGGGUCAUAAUCAAGAAUCACGAAAAGAAUCAUAUAUGGAGAAUCUGGUCUCUGGAGCCUGACAACAGCACAAUCCAAAGGCAAAGCAGGGAAGAACCACCCUGAUUCAUGUCUGCACUACGUUCCAUGUGAAAGCACAGCUGACAUAUUGACCCAACAAUAAAAAGAGCAGCAGUUUACACA
Molecule: long non-coding RNA, 648 nt
Organism: Lutra lutra (Eurasian river otter)
Lineage: Eukaryota; Metazoa; Chordata; Mammalia; Carnivora; Mustelidae
Exons: 3
Source: RefSeq, a predicted model, not a curated record